Molecule: long non-coding RNA, 1501 nt
Filed under: Oreochromis niloticus (Nile tilapia)
Lineage: Eukaryota; Metazoa; Chordata; Actinopteri; Cichliformes; Cichlidae
Description: lncRNA (ENSONIG00000027511.1)
Source: RNAcentral
GCCCUCAGUCAUGAGGAAUGCUCUCUGCAUCAUCUGGACAUAGCCAGCAGCCUUUUGACACUUCUGCACCUCCUGAAGCUCCAUUGUUCCACUGAAGGAAAAAGCAUCUCCCCAACCAUUGUGGCGCCCCCUCGUCUGUAGGGCGUAGAAAACAUCUCAGGUGGCAUCUGCUUGUCAUGCCAGUAAGGUUGGAAACCAUCAGGACCAUCAAGGUUGCAUUUUUUUACAGGAGAAAAAAAAAGGUUAUAUUUUUUUCUCAUCAGAUAAUUUUUUUUGAAGCUCUUCACCACUAAUGGCCUUAAUUCGGGUUGAGGAUUUUUUAGGUCUUCCACUUCACGGUUUUGUUCCAUAACCCCCAGGAUUAUUUAAGAAAUGACCGUCUUAACUGCAUCCCACCUCAGCAGCGAUGGCGCGCUGUGAGCGACCCUACUUAUGCAGUUCAACAAGCCGACCAUGUUCAAAAAGGAAAGUUUUUUUGCUUUUGCCAUCAGAACAUCCUGACAGUCUGACUACCUGACAGAAAAUGACAAUGAAUCCACAGUUUUGCACAGAUUUGGCCUUUUAAAGGAAUGUGGUCCUAAACAUUUGAUCAGCUGUAAAACAGCCUGUCCCAGUUUAAGUUGGUGAAAUGUAAGUUAAAUGUUUUCUCUCACUCCCAUUUCUGCUUGUUGCAUGUUGUUGGAACCUUGUUAAGAUCCAACCAUGCAAAAGAUGAUUUUUUGCCAUUUUUCAAGUGGUCUUAAACUUUUGAUUGGGACUGUAUUUAAUGAUCGAUUAGUUUCUUCUGAAUGGAUUAAGAAUGCUUUAUGUCUGCAUUGCAAUGCAUCACAAUUGUAAAUCAUUAUACGAUUAAUUGUGUCAGCUCUAUUAGAUGUAAGAUUGUAUAUUUGCUUUUGAAAUGGGCAGUUUGCUUUAUUGUGCUUUGUAUUUGCUUUCAGACUGCAAGGAAAGAACGCUAAUCUACACCGAGCAUCUGAAGAACAACAAACCAGUCCUCCAGCACAUUGAAUCCAAAACCUGUUCCAGUUCCUCAGACACCAUCAGAGACUGUUUUGAAAGCCCUCUACUAUCAAUCUGGAUAAAAAGAAACUUUGCCAACCACUGCAAGGCAUUUGAAUCACUGAAGUCAUCUUCACCACCUGCUCUUCCAGACGACGGACUCGUGCCUGAACACCUGCAGUUAACUAACCGACCACUGAUCAGUAAGGUAAAAAAUAAGGUAUAUAUCCUCAUUUGGAAAAUUGUGAAUUCAAGCUUAGGAGGGAUAUUAGGCCCCUUAUGUCAAACUGAGUGAUUUAUGGCCCCCAAUAAAUUAUUCAUGAGCUCAGGAAGUAAAGGAAGUAAUAAAGGAAGUAAUAAAAAUAUGAUAUUCAUAAAAAUAUGAUAUUCAUAAAAAUUAUGAUUUUCAUAAAAAUUAUGAUAUUCAUCCAAAAUAUGCUAGUUCAUAGCUCAUUGCUUUUUCUUCCCCCUAAAAAGAACUAAUUGAUUAUUUAGAAAGUUU